RNAcentral lists this unclassified non-coding RNA (627 nucleotides) under Hevea brasiliensis (rubber tree). Lineage: Eukaryota; Viridiplantae; Streptophyta; Magnoliopsida; Malpighiales; Euphorbiaceae. The record is from RNAcentral.
GUUCCAUGUCACAUCUCAUUGAUAGUGAGGCAUGAAAACACUUCAAUUGCACUUACCCCUUGUUUGCAUUUGACCCCAUGAAUGUUUGUCUUGGAUUAUGCACUAAUGGAUUCAAUCCUUUUGGGAAACGUUCUAAUCCUUACUCUUGUCGACCAAUAAUAAUUACAGUGUAUAACUUGCAUCCUUAGAUGGCUAUGAAAAAACCUUAUAUGUUCUUGAAUACUGCGGUUCUAGGUCCUAAAAGCCCUGGCAAGAGUUUGGAUGUGUUCUUGAGACUCUUAAUUGAUGAGUUGAAAAUGUUAUGGAAAGUAGGAUUUUUAACUCGUAAUAUUAAUACUAAGUAGAACUUUCAAAUGAAAGUAGCACUUUUGUGGACAAUAAAUGACUUUCCUACUACUUGAUCCAAAUCAUGUAGUAGAGUUAAAUACUCAUGAAUUGCAACAUUUAGUACAAUCAAGUAAAGAGGAGGAAGAUAAAGAUGAAGAGGACGAUGAAGAUGAAGACUAAGAUAAGAACGAGGACGAAGACAAAGAUGAGAAUGACAUCAAGGAUGAGGAUGAAAAUGAAGAGGAUAAGGAUGACAGUGUUGAUGGAGAUGACGGCAAUGAUAAAUAAUUUUCAUUAUUG